RNAcentral lists this ribosomal RNA (253 nucleotides) under uncultured bacterium. RNAcentral's name for it is "partial 16S ribosomal RNA". It matches the Rfam family "Bacterial small subunit ribosomal RNA", at positions 524 to 776 of the family's 1533-position model. The record is from RNAcentral.
CACGUAGGGGGCAAGCGUUGUCCGGAUUUAUUGGGCGUAAAGAGCUCGUAGGUGGCUGAGUAAGUCGGAUGUUAAAUCCCCAGGCUCAACCUGGGACACCACCCGAUACUGCUCUGGCUAGAGUCCGGUAGGGGAGCGUGGAAUUCCUGGUGUAGCGGUGAAAUGCGCAGAUAUCAGGAGGAACACCAGCGGCGAAGGCGGCUCACUGGUCCAUUACUGACGCUGAGGUGCGAAAGCGUGGGGAGCAAACAGG